CACAGUCAGUAAAUCGUGCUUGUAAGACUUUAAACUUCUUAUAAAACUUUGAAAAAAACCAAAAAAUCCAAUCAUGCAGCCACGCUUUGUGAUCUUCUUCGUGACCAUCUUCGUAGCCAUCUCUCAGUUUGAGGGUGUAGCAGCCAAUACUGGAUGUAUAUCAUUUCUUGGACUCACCGUUGAUGUGUUGUGCAGCCUUCUAUGUGACAUUGGGCUAGUUGAGGAGACAUGUUGCUUGGAAAAACUUGCUGUUUGCUAUGCAUCCCCUUGCUCUCCCUGUGACAUCAGCAGUUGCUGUAUUGCUUAAUAAAUUAAUCAUUUAACACCUUUCAUUCUGUAUGUUGGCCUUUUUUUCUUUCUCAAAUAAGAAAAUAAUUUGAGAUGGAAAAAGAUGAAAAAACUUAAUGAAAGUGUUGAAAUGUCUUUGAAUUUUUCUAUCAAUGUGAAAUCAAUGUAUUUUCUUACCAGAACAAUUAAUAAAAUAUCUAUCCUUUCAAACUAACUAA
Molecule: long non-coding RNA, 506 nt
Organism: Lutzomyia longipalpis
Lineage: Eukaryota; Metazoa; Arthropoda; Insecta; Diptera; Psychodidae
Exons: 2
Source: RefSeq, a predicted model, not a curated record